ACGCUCGACACCUACGAGGCAGCAGUGGGGAAUAUUGCACAAUGGGGGAAACCCUGAUGCAGCAACGCCGCGUGAAGGAAGACGGUUUUCGGAUUGUAAACUUCUGUUCUUAGUGAAGAUAGUGACGGUAGCUAAGGAGCAAGCCACGGCUAACUACGUGCCAGCAGCCGCGGUAAUCUGAGCGGGCUGGCAAGGC
This 196-nucleotide ribosomal RNA is filed under the name uncultured bacterium. RNAcentral describes it as "partial 16S ribosomal RNA". It matches the Rfam family "Bacterial small subunit ribosomal RNA", at positions 326 to 539 of the family's 1533-position model. The record is from RNAcentral.